CUUAUGUCUAGAUCCACUUGGAUCUAAGGAAAAUAUGGGUGCAUGGUUGAGUGCUUACUUUAGGGACCAGCUCCUAGAUGUCAAAGUUUUCAUGAGCCUUACUGUUUCUGUACCUUUUAUUUCAGAAAGAAAUAUCAGUUUUUCCACACCUGUCACGAUGAGAACUUUUAAGUUGACCAAUGCCCUUUUUUACCUGAUAGCCUCUGAAAUCACAGUGGAAUCUAAAUACAAAGCUGAGGCUAAAUAUUUGUGUUUUUUUCAAACAAAGGUAUCCUAGAACUUUAUGUCAAAAGGAUGAAGAUGUGCUCAAGAGAGAGUGACUUUCUGGGGAGAGGCUGAAAUGGGAGAAUGAAUUUCCACACAGAAAAAGGACAGUUGUAGAUGUUUCCUCUUUGCUUCAAUCUUACCCUAUUUCAAUGUGUGCAGUGAAAUAAAAAGUAAAUGACCUGUUAAAA
Molecule: long non-coding RNA, 455 nt
Organism: Pseudopipra pipra
Lineage: Eukaryota; Metazoa; Chordata; Aves; Passeriformes; Pipridae
Exons: 3
Source: RefSeq, a predicted model, not a curated record